UCACAUGUAAAAAAUAAUCCUAAAUAUUAAAAUAAUGGAUUAAUUUUAUGUAAACAUAAUAAAUUACAGAUAUAUUUUUACAAAGUUCAACUUUUAUAUAUUGUUGCUAUAAAAGUUGUGAUAUUUUCAAAUAUAUUUUUCUGAUUUGUUACCGUUAAAACACAUAAGUGAAAUAUAUUCUUUUGAUCUUUUUUAACAGCAGAUAAGUAAAAUUACAUUUUUGCUAUCACAAAUAUAUCCCUUCCAAAAGCCACAACAGUUAUAAUUGUACAAAAAUAUCCCCCAAAUUGUCGCAACCUUUUCUAUUUAUGAUUAAAUUUUGUUUGUGAAAUUUUUAAAAUGGUUCAAUUAUGAUUCUUAAAUUAUGAAUUAAUCCAUAUACAAGAUUGAAAAUAAAACUUCUAAAAACUGCAGGUGAAAUGGAACCAAACUGAAUUGUUAGGAUCGGUUCCAAAAAUAAAUCGGUUUGGUUCGAUUAUAAAUUUUUGCAAACUAAAAUAUUUGAUUCGAUUUGAAAGUCUUGUAAAAAAAACCAAACUAAACCGAUCCCAUUACACCUCUACCAUCCAUAGUGUCCUACUAGUCACACCACUGGUAAAAAAAUUCAUUCCCACAAAAAUUAUUUUUUGAAAAAGAAAAAUAACAUGCUAUCUUAUUUCAUUUAUUUUUUAAAAAAUAAAUUUAGUUAAAUAUGCGAUUGUGAUUUACCACUCAUGCUAGAUACGGUGGUGUAGAAUAAUAGAUUUAGGUUGGAUAAAAUCUACAUGUUACAACUUAUGAUGAUAAUUUUGGUAAAAAAGUAUAGAAUGCAUUAGUUAUAUUACUGAUGCGAUUUUCUUAAUUAAUCAGAUUUUUUUUUAUUUACUCAUUCCAUUAUAGUUUUUUAAAAAAUAUUUUUAUUAUAUAUAUUUUUAAAAGUGUAGAGCUACUACGCUAUCGAAAGUAUAGAUGAUCUGAUCCUUCCAACUUUUUGACAAUUGGAUAAAAAAUUAUACGGUUGGGAGAAUUACAGUCCCUCCAGGAUUGAGUAGUAUUCCUAGAGUUGAGUGGUCCCCACAUGAUAAUAGUAUUAAUUCAAAGACUAGAAAUGAUCAAAAGAGUUGAUUUAAGUGUCAAAAAAUCAGAAGUACCAGAUUCUUUAUACUUCUGAUAGUAUAGUCGCUCUAAUUUAAAAAAAAAAAUAUGAUUGGCUUAUUAUGGAUCAGUAUAAGUAUUAUAUCGUAAAUUUUCUCUGCUUUUGACAUGCAAGCAAAAUAAAUAAAUAAAUAAAUAAAAAUAAAAAACGCUACCCGCGUCGCGGCUUCGAAUCGGUAAAAGCCCUUUCUUUGGUUGCUGCUUCCUCCGCGACGAAGAAAGAAAUCCGAAGCCUCCGAUCGUGACCCUCUCCCCCUCCGGUCGCCAUGGAUCCAAGCUCCGUUCACCCCGACAAGGUGCGCUCCGAUCCUCCCUCCGACCCCGCCCCGCCCCCCAAGGUCGCCGCCGACGACCCCGCGCUGUCUCCGCCGCCGCCGAAGAACGUCACCUGGAGCACCGAUCUCACGCGGGAGGGCCAUCCCGCGGCGGCGGCGGCGGCGGCGGCGGAGUCGAAUCCCAACGUCAUUUCCUCCCCCGCCCAAUCCUCCGCGAAGAGUAUGAAAUUUUGCGAUUUUUUAACCUCUUUUCUAAUGGUGAUUGGAGUUUUCAUUGUUGAUUUAGAUUAGAGCUUCGUUUUUUUUAGUUUUUUCCUAUGCUGAUUGUGGAAUUUGAUUUGAAAUAGGCACGGUGGACACAGUGAAAAACGCACUCGCGAGAUGGGGCAAAAAAGUUGGGGAAACGACGAAGAAGGCGGAGGAUCUGUCGCGAAAUACUUGGCAACACUGUAAGUUUUCAAGCUUUAGGCGGAUUCUGUGUUGAAUUUUCAUCAUGUUUCUAUUCUCGAUCUGUGAAAUUAGUGUGAUUUUGUGUAAUUCUCUUGUGGUUCUAUAUUAUUCGCUUAUAAUCUUUCCUUAUCGAAUCCAUCUUUUUAUUAAUGAGAUGAGACAUCUAAUUUCGAUAAUAGUAAUUUGAAAUAGCAUGAGCAGGUACAUAUAGACCACUUUAAGGAUGAAUUUAUAUUGCACGAGUUUAAAACUUGAAUGGUGAAUAGGGAAUGUGAUUUGAUGAUUCCCAUUCUGGCUGUUUCGGGGAAAUUCCGACCCCUGUAAAGGUCGAAUGAUUAAUAUGUCAAAUUCUCAAAAUCAAAUCUGACUGCUCCUUUUGGUGUCAAUUUUAAAUCUAGGUUGGUUUUCGUGACCACCUUGAAAACUGGCACCACAGUCACCUUCAAUGUGAGACCCCAGAUAGUCCUAUAUAUGAGAUAUAAUAGGGCUAAACUCUUAACCCGGCUUAAGCAUUUUGGGUGGUGGCUAGACCCAAGAGGUUAAGAGAGUUAAGCGUGCUAGGACGGGAGUAGUCCUAGGAUGGGUGACCCCCUGGGAAGUCGGGGCGUUUCAGAUGGUAUCAGAGCCAAUUACCAGCCGGAAGUGUGAGAUGAAUCUCGGCUGAGCUAGGGUCUGGAUGACGGGCUAGCGAGACGAGUCUCACAUCGCCUGGUACUUGUGAGUCUGAGCCUGACGAGGACGUCAGGGCUUAAAGGAGGGGAGAUUGUGAGACCCCAGAUAGUCCUAUAUAUGAGAUAUAAUAGGGCUAAACUCUUAACCCGGCUUAAGCAUUUUGGGUGGUGGCUAGACCCAAGAGGUUAAGAGAGUUAAGCGUGCUAGGACGGGAGUAGUCCUAGGAUGGGUGACCCCCUGGGAAGUCGGGGCGUUUCAUUCAACUUGUUUACUAAGUUUAACUUGAAAUCUUUCUAUAAUUCUGUAUGAUCAAACUAGUUUUCUCAACUUGCGGGUGAACUGCUUCUCUUGCAGGUGAAAGGUCAUAAUUUACUGAAGCACAUGUCGACAUAUUAGAUUCUGAUUUAUGUUGAAUCAGAUCCCUUAUUAUAAUAUUAGAUGAUUUCAUAGAAUAAAUUGCUUGUUUUCAUAAUAAAAAUUCAUUAGCUACUAUGUAUUGUUGGAGCUCUACUGAUUUAAAUUCCUCAUUUCUAUCCAGUUGAAACUUUGACUAGAUAGAAUGCUGCCGCUGUAACACUUUUAUUUGUUUAUAAUAACAUCAUUAUUAGCAGCAGAAGCAACAGCAGUAUAAUUAUAUAAGAGACUGUUAUUUACAUACUACUACAGUUAUUCGUGGUGUUUAUGGCCUUAUUUUAUAAAAAAUCUCUUAUGAUUUCUGUAAUUUCAAUCAAGUUCAUUUCUUGUACUCUUUUUUUUCCCAAAUAUUCUAGCAACAUGAUUUCAAGAUAUAGAAAAGCCAUCACUCCAACAUGCCUGCAACUUGUUCAUUUCAAGUUUUAAGAAGCACAUUUAACUUUAUUUUCAACUUUAGUCACAUGUGAUUCUUUAUUGUUCAAUCAUUAUGCAAAGAUAUGAAGUUCUCCACCUUAAUACACCAUGCAUGUCUUGAGAUAAUGUAACUGAGGUUGGGAACAUGUGGUGCAUGUUUUCAAAAAGAAUAACAGGAAGUUUAAGAAGUUUGGACUGGAUUUACAGGAAAAAACUUCAGUAGAACGAAGGAAAACAUGAGAAUGGUGCAUCUGCCCUUAUUUAGGAUGUGUCCUUUUCCAAAAGAAUAACAGGAAUUAUUAUCAUGAUCACUUUUGUAUGGACCGAGAUUUUUAGUUAGUUGAAUGUGUAUUCUUAUUUUUAGAUUGCUUAGACUGGUUCCUUUUCGCAUGCUUCUAUCCAGUGUGAUGAUGGUAAGGACAUAAUUUUGGCAAUUGUAACUUAUGGGAUGACAGCACACUAUCCUUAAAUUUUCUAUAGAAUGAAAGAUCUUAAGAUCUAUUUGAGCAUGGAUUUAGUGGAAGCUAGUUUUCUGGAAGAGCUGAUCAUUUUUUCUCAUACUAUGCUAUUUGGCUCGAAGGUUCUCUAGUGGUGAUUGUGGAUAAUUCAAGGUUACUUGCUGGUUAGAACAAAACAAGGGCAAACUGAAAAGGUAGUUCAAAUUGUAAGAUUAAAAUGGCUGUUGAAAUUUAGAAGGGACCCAUGGGAAGGGCUGAUUGGUUUUGGUAGGAAGGGCAUGUGUUGGAUUGAUGAAUAAGGACAUUCUUGCAUGAGUGCUAUAGAAUGUAAUCUUUGUACUUCAAUAGUAGGUACAACUAAAUGGGUAGCUGUCAGCAUACCAGAGUUACAAAUCAGCACGGGAAAUGUUUCUCCUAGUACGAGGGCUCUUUUGAUUUUAAAAUUCUAAUGCUACCCUUGGUAGUUUAUGCAAAACCUAAGCUGGUUUGGUAGGAUUACGGUAUAAGGUUUUUUUAACUGUCUUCCAAACUGGGCAUAUGUUUCAUUGAACUUGCAGAUUAUAUUUGUUGCUUCAAGUAUCAAUUUAAUACCAAACUCUUUUCCUAGUCAUAGCGCCUAAUAGGUGCUUUCAUCACAUAUUUACAAUUGUCAUUCUUUCUGAGCUUCACGUUUGUCCUUAUUAAAACCUCUUUUCAGCUUUUUAUGUUGCAUUAACUGGAGCAUAGAAAGGAACCUGGAAGGUGGAACUCCUUGAUGCUCCGGUGGAGCUUUUGUCCAUUAUAUUACAUCAUUUGAGAAGCAAAAUAUGUUACAGUGACAUGUUGACGCCCUUUUAUGCUAGUUCUUAACAAUCUCCUGUUAUGCUAUCAAGGAAAAUUAUGUGAAGUGGCAAGAAUGUUAGAAUGCUUUCUUCAUAGUGAUCAAGCAACAAGUUCCACUUAUAAUGAUUUCAAUGAAAGGAUGAAUAAUGAAGACAAGUCAUACUCUCGUGUAUCUUGCCUUCAUUUGACCUUUAGUAACCAUGAUGCGGUUGCGAGAUCUUAAAAAAUGUAAUUGGAAUUAUAGGGGAGGAAUUUUUACUGAUCAUAUUGUUAGCAAUACUAAAUAUAUUACAAUCAACUUGUUUGUUUGUUUGUUUACCUGCUCGUCUGUUUUGUUUUAUCUCCUCUCUCUCUCUCUGUUUCUUUUUUUUUUUCUUAUGAAGCAAAUUAUUUGCCGAGUCAUUUGAAUUCUGUCCAAAUUCAACUGUUAAUCAUUUGAAUUUCUGUUAAGAUUCAACAGUUAGUCAUUGGAAUUUCCAAUUCAAAAGUUACACGACAAAAUUGGUGCCAGUUUAUGAUGCGUCUCAGCAUUGUAUCUUUCAAAACUUUGAAGUCUUAUUAAUCUAGUGAGUGCAAAUUUAACAUAUGAACCAAGGAAUAGUAGCUUUAACUCAUUAAUGAUUUUGAGUUUCAAUUCGUUUCAGUAUUGAUAUUCUUCUUCAUGCAGUGAAAACAGGACCUAGUUUUGCUGAAGCUGCAAUGGGAAGGAUUGCUCAAGGAACCAAAGUCAUAGCAGAAGGUGGCUAUGACAGGAUAUUUCAGCAAACAUUUGAAGCACUGCCGGAAGAGCAACUUAGGAAGUCUUUUGCAUGCUAUCUAUCAACAUCUGCUGGUCCUGUUAUGGGGAUUUUGUACUUAUCUACAGAGAAACUUGCGUUCUGUAGCGACAAUCCUCUUUCAUACAAAGAUGGAGAUAAAACAGAAUGGAGUUAUUAUAAGGUACCGAUUUCUCUUCUCUCUCUUCUCUCUCUCUCUCCUGCCCCCACCCAUUCCUUCCACACACACCUCCUUCCCCCUGUCGUGGGGCCUCUCUCUCUCUCUCUCUCUCUCUCUCUCUCUCCACACAGUAUUUUGGAAUUGAUGAAAAUUUGAUGAUGAGGCCUGAAUCUUUAUUUUUGAUUCCCCAAAAGUUUAUGAUGAGAUUCACUAGUUUCCUUGCCGAAGGUUAUCUCGUCAAUUACUUCUUGCACCACAUAUUCUGUCUUUUCCUACUCUUUCAUUUGAUCCGUCUCUCUUUUCUUCUCAAUGUUAUAUAAACUGACAGAAUGCUAAACCACAUUCUAAUUUCCUUGAUUUGAAAAAUAAUUUUGUGUAAUAUAAACAGGUGGUGAUUCCUUUGAAUCAACUAAGGGUAGCUAAUCCCUCAAUAAGUAGAGCAAAUUCUGCUGAAAAGUAUAUCCAGAUCGUCUCUGUGGACAAUCACGAGUUUUGGUUCAUGGGUUUUCUAAACUACAACAGUGCUGUAGAGAGUCUUCAAGAGGCUUUGAUUAGUGCACGUGACUCGCAACCUUAGAGGACACCAGAAUCUCAACACAGGUCUUGUGACCCUUCGAGAUGCUGGUCUCCACGCCCUCAGUAUUUAUAUCGCAUGAUCAUAAUUCAAGCCUGGCUCUAUCGCAACCACUGGUAGAAUACACCUUAUACAUGGAUAUCUUCGACUUUUUGAUCACUUUGUUUCCGAGUUUAAAUUUUGCUCUACUAAACAAUACAUGUUUAUCUGUAGUUUGUGCAUUUCCCCCUAUCAUUUCUCGACUGCCGAACCAUUGCAGCAAUUUUAUCUCUUCGUUUUUCCAGUUUGUCCUGGCUGGGUUUGUUGUAUCUGUUGUUGUGCCUUACUGAUGUAAAAAUACUUUGAAUUUCUGAAUAAGAUCAGUCCAUUUUGAGGAGGAUAUUGUUCACAACAACCUGGCCCAUACCCUUCUGCUCCAGCAGUACCUUAUCCUCCAGUUCUGUUCAGGCAUACCAACCGGUUGCGCCUGAUAGGGAGGAUAUUUUGGAAAUAUGUAGGCAAGAACUAGAGCGUAUGGAUAUGGUCCUAAGGGUGGCGCUCAUCAGCCAAGGACCUCAAUUUCAAGACAGAAUCCGGAGAUUGGGUUACUAUUGGCCCUCCAUGAUCAAGGAUUGCAUCGACUAUGCCCGCCGGUGCGAUGCCCGCCAGUAAAAGGAAAAAUAAAAAAAUAAAAGUGAAAAAAAGAGAGGGAUUUUGUUCGGAGCUGAUCAUCAUUUCUUGUGACAUGAAUUGACUCAGGUUGGAUAAAUCCAGGUUGCUUGGCAACAAGAGGAGCCAACUACUCCGGAUUUUGAUACAUUUCAUUGUUGACUAUUAACUGGUGCUUAUUCUUUUCCUUCUUUUGAGUUGACACCUUUUUUUAUCUGGAUUUUCUCUUCGGUAAUGCAAUAGAGUUCAUUUGAGUUGGUUCGUUUCUUGACAACAAUUUCAUAUAUGAAUUGAAGGGUUGCAGUUUUGGUGCAAAAGAAGACCAGAUUCAUAUGUGCGGUCACCGAGUAGCUUGCUCUAUACCGGUCCUUCAAAAUUUCUUUUGCUAUUAUAUGCAGCUCCAGCUUAAAUCAGCAGCACAAUAGAAGGAUCGCUGCGUCGAAAAUUUUAGUUUAUUACCUUUGCUUGAUGCAUGGAGCUUAUCUCCCUUUAUCAUGUUGACAGGGACUGUCUCCACCUACCUUCCAUUUUAAAGCACGAAAAAAGAGCUGAGAAAUUUUCCUAUCUUACUAGUGAUUUUGAUGUGGGACUUCAAAAUCAAUGUGUUACUUUAGCUGCUAGGAAGCGUAAAUCUGAUUCUAGGUCCUCCUAGCAGGGGGAUGGCAUUGCCUUUGUUCCUUAACUUGGAAGAAUAUUUUCGAUUGUAUAAUGCUUGAUCCAAUUGAAUUCAGAGGAGCUCCGAAUUCGGAAAACCUGCACUUAUUCUCUUUGAUUUGUUUUCUGCUCCCAGUAGUUUGCUGCAAUAAGAUUCGCGCAGAUGAAAACACAACCCACAUCUGCAAGUUUGGGAAGAGCUGGUGAAUCUUUUCCCAUGAUCCAAGACAGGCCAUUAAAUAGCAAGGCUCAUGUUGUCCAGGUUUGUCUAACUUUCCCAUCCGUACAAACCCAGCAAGGGCUCGAGUUACUUCAUUGCAGAAUUUGUCCCACCAAUCAGAAGCUGCUACAUUUAAACAAUUGGGGCAGAUCAGAUCAAAGCCCAUUGCCAAAUGUCGGUGUAUGUAUCUCCCGCCUUUCGAAAUGGCAUACAGGAUACGAAACAGACGAGGUAAUCGAUGGAGAUUUAACUCCGUCAAUAGUAGCAGCACGAAUUGAUCUUACCCACAAUCUUAUGAUAUGUUGGGGGUAGGGUCCAUCGGAGUAGCGUCCAAUACAAAAUGAUUUCUUUUUUUUUUUUUUCAAAUUCGGUCUCAGAUUGAAUCAUCCGGCUCGACCGGUAGUAUUACUCGACCUAACCGACCGAGAUUCGACAAUCGCAACCUCGCGCAACUUCCGACGCCUUACGGAAACCCAAAACUUUAUUAUCUUGAUUAGGUCAUUACGACCGUUGGGUGAAGAACGGAUCCAAACAGUGCCAGCGCAGAAAAGGUUACAGCUAAGCCAAAAUUCAGGAAGAAGCAGGAAGCAGCAGUCACAACAGAAGGUGGAGAGGAGGGAGGGAAUCAAAUCGCGCCAGGCUGGCUUUGAUGUUUUGGCCGCAAUCAAAAGUUUGUCUGACCACAAAGAUUCUGUCAAAACACCCCAACCAUUUCCUGCGCCCCCUUUUCCUCCUCCGUCUGGUCAGUAUCAAGCCUCAGGGAUUGGUGCCUAGACUGGGCCUACCCAAUCAUUCAUUUUUUAUUUUAUCCUUUUAUUUUAUUUCUUUAUUUAUUUUUAUAUAUUAUGGGCGAAAAGGAGAUAGCUUCAUAUAUAGCACCAUUAAAUAUUGAAUAAUUUAAACCAGAAAAAAAAAAAAAAAAAAAGAGAGAGAGAGAGAGAGAGAGAGAAAUUCAAUUUGAGAAUUUAACAAACAUUGCACCUUAUCAUCUUCGUCGCGAAAUCAAUCGUAUUGUUCCGAUAAUUUUAUAUCAUUUUCAAAAUUUAGGCUGUAAUUUCGAAUACUGUGAACAGAAAGAUUUUAUGUGCUGCUGUUCUCAGGGUCAGAUUUGUUCGUAAAUUAUAUCAGGAGAAACAAGUUAAAAAAAAAUCGAAAUUUGACUGAGGUUGCUAAAUUGGUUGGAUCAGUUUUGUUCGAACCUGGAGCCUGAAAAAGUGUUGAAUGGUUUAAUUAUACAUCUUGGACCGUAGUAACUAGAUAGAUUUGGAUCUUGCGCAGCAAAAGCGCUGUUCACCUUCUCCUUUUUCCCCUUUAUUUUUGUCCCUGCAUGCACUUUCUGAAUUAUUUUACAUGUCUUUACCAUCCCGAUUCCCAUGAAAACAUCCUCUCAAGUUUCAAAGAUUUGGAUUGAUAACACUGAUGGGGCUCUCAUCUAUUUAUAUUUCUCAAUGUUGAUGUGAUUUUUUUUUUCCUUUUUUUUUUUUUUUUUUCCUGCUCUCUACUGUGUGAUUGCUUAUUUCUUUAUUUGGAGACUCAAAAGUAAGAUUGGUUUGGGUGGUGGUUACUUGAGAUCCUUAGCACUUCCAUUGUUUAGCGAAAACAUCUAAUUUAUUACAAAUAAUCAGAAAAAUAUGUGUUUGAACUCCUAAAAUAGCAAAUGCGAGAAUUAAACCCACACGCUUGCUGACGUCCCAUCCAAUUCUUAUUGAUUAUUCUUUUUUCAGAAAGAAAAAUAUAUUAAGUGUUAUGGAUGUAUGAAAAGGCCUAAUUAUAGAAUCAGCGCCGAUACUAUGUUAACUAAAAGAUCGAAUUGAGGUCACGGGAGAAUCUCUCUUACCCAAAUUUUUGUAGGGACAGAGAACAACUCUGGGCCUCCACAAGUCUAUCAUUUUUGCAUCCAUCUACCCCCCCAUGAUACCACUCAACAGGAGACAGCUUCUUGAUACUACCACUACUCCCCCACCCUACUCCCAGGGAACCAACUCAAUCCACAAGUUUGAUUACUUAGCAUGCACUCCCUAGUUCCCUUCACCCUCUCCUCCUCUAGCUCUUUUCCUGUCUCCCAAGAGAGAGAGAGAGAGAGAGAGAGAGAGAGAGAGAGAGAGAGAGAGAGAGAUUCUACAAAUGUAAUGGAUCCCACAUAAUGUAUGGGACCAAGAGAUGAGGAGGAAGAGGGAAAAGUUGCAGUUAUGCUUCUGAGGGGAUUCUGUUGGGUGACUGUAAAACUAUAGGACUAUUGCUUGUUGAGUUUAUGGUCCCCAUCUACCAGACAAAAACCCUAUGACUGUAAGACAAUGAGGCUCCUCUCAAACCCUGUAAUUAACAUAUUUAUGUUUCCAUGCAUGGCAGCUAACUUCAUUUAUAGCUCUCGCGAGGUGGAAGACGCAUUAAUAAACUAUGAAUAACCUUCGUGAUAUAUACCGGAGGUAGAGUUGGCGCAUUCAAUUAACCAUCCAUUCACUGCAUCUCUCUUCGUUUCUUUGUUCAUAAAUUAGAUCGUCGGAGCGAAAGACGGCCUGUUUGAGACUGCGUCUGUACCGCAUUUAAUGCGAUAAAAACAAGAAAAAGGGGGCCUGUGUGGGACUGCGUGGGUGCUGCAUUUAACGUGUUUUAGACAGACCUCGUCCGGUUUUGCAGACCAAAAUCGAGCAAUCGAGAGCCGAACAAAUUGCAGCAUGUACCAGACAGACCUCGUCCAGUUUUGCAGACCAAAAUCGAGCAAUCGUAAUCCAAACAAAUUGCAGCAUGUACCUUGCUACAUGCGUUUGCAGACUAAGGCAGCCGACACACUCAGCAGUACCAAACGAAGCCUUAAGUGAUGUGCGUGGUUGAGGUGCAUCUAGUAAAUUCAAUGUUUACUAAUUGCUCAUAUGUAUUUUGCCACAAUAAAUGAGACGAAAUUGCACUUAAUGUGAACCCUAGUGAAAAUGGAUCUUCGUCGCCCCAUUUACUAUUAACUAUUAAACAUUAUAUUCCCGAAGACCAAUUGGACCGGAAUACUAUUAAUAGUAUUUGGCCGUUUUUGCUAUCAAGUUUUUUCUUAUUCUCAUACUUGUACCUAUCCCUGUAAUAGCUAGCUCUUGCUUAUACCCGAACCAAACGAUUACUUUAGAGUUGAGUGGUCCCCCGAGAGUUGAGUGAAUUCUACUAGAUUAUAAUAUUUAAUCCAAUAGUUAGAAAUGAUCAAAGAAAUUGAUCUAAAAGCUAAAAACUUGAUAGCAAAUGGGGGCAAAUACGGUUAAUAGUAUUCUAGCCCUACAUAUAUAUAUAUAUAUAUAUAUAUAUAUAUAUAUAUAUAGAGAGAGAGAGNCUGUGCAUUACUUUAAGAUAUUGGGGUGUUCUUGGGGGUUGGAUGUGGGUGUGGGAAGGGGGCAGGGUGCGUGGGUGUGGGUGGGUUGGGAGGGGGCUCCUUUGAAUGGCAACUGUCUAGGACAUUGGACUGAAUUUCCAUUAUGCAAGUCAAUAUAUCCAUAAUGAAAAAAAGGCACAAGUCAAAAGGCAAAAAUGAGAGCCAUAAAUUUAUAAAUAUUGUAGCACAAAAAGUAUUUAAGCAAAAAUAGGCGUUCUAAUUAGAUACCUUUACCGAGCUGUUGUUCUUGUGAUAAAUUUCCACGCAAAGGAUAACUUCAGUAGAGAAUACUGGUAUGUAUUCUUGUGAUUUCAAAGCCUUCACCUGGGCAAAAUAAUAAGCAAUAUAUACAUAAAGCAGAAUAUUUUAUGAACAAACCAUGAUUCCUAUCUAAUAGAAAAAGAACGAAUGAAGUAUAUCAAUUAGCACAAUAAGAAAUCAACUCAAAUUUUAGUUUUUGCAAAAUUCCAUUUGUUUAACAAGUUGCCUUUAGUCGAGAGAAUUGAGAACUUACAGAAUAAUCAAAAGUUCAAAAGUAACCCUUCUAGACAUGACAUCAAAGAUCAAACAUUAAGAAGUCAACUCCAAAAUGGAACAAUACGGCAAGGAUAAUAUUCAUGACAAAAAAGCAUAUGUACAAUAAUACAAGACAUUGAGAUGGUAAAUUGAACCUGUAGUCCACAAACUUUUUAAUGUAGUUACAGUUCUUUCUUUUUUUUUUGAGGCAAAAAAGAAACUUCCAAACUAGGACAGAAGAUUUGGCAGACCCCCUACUUGACCUCUGUGUAUUGAGUCAUGUGCAAAGAAAGACAACCAACGGUGGCCCAACCAACCAAUCAUAAAAGCCACUAAACUCAGCUUAAUAGAGAAGUAUCCCAAUAUCUUCGUAAUGUAAUCCAGACAUAAGCAGCACCAUCGAGCUGUACUUGUUCUUCUGUUAUCCAAUUACAUAAUUGUAAAUUCACAUGGUUUAUAAAUUUCAGCAGUCCGCUUAUUACCUUUCAGACCAGACAUUUCUAUUUUCCCAACUGGGUACCAAAAAUCCAUGUAAUUGUUGACUGAUUGCCACAUAAAGUGAAUUUUGGAUUUACCACAAGGCAACAUAGGCAUUUCAAUCUGUUUUACUUGAGGACCUUGAUGAACAUAAGAUUGCAGCCAGGUGCACAGGUUGAAGAACCCAUCAAAAGUUUGUAAUAAUGAACAGAUAGAGAAUCAAACUGAAAUCUCCAUAAAAGCUAGAGGACUCUGGGGCACUUUGGCCGUAUUGAAACUUAUAGCAUAUUUAGCUACGAUGAAAACGUAAUGACAAUAAGACUGGAAUACUGGAUGCUAAAUUAUGUGGAAACCACACAUUGCAUGCUAGUAUAUGCAUAUAGAUGUGCAGAUAUGUAUGAAGGUGCGCAUACAUUGAUAUAUAUAUAUAUAUAUAUAUAUAGAACUAGGCUAAUAUACUAUUAAUAGUACCAAGUCAUUGGUGCUACCAAGUUUUUGGCCAUUGGAUUAAGAGAUGUGCGGUUGGGAUGAUGUGGGCCCCCUAGGGUUGAGUGGGUGGUUGGUUGAAUAGUAUGAUCUAAUGGAUGAAAAUGAUCAAAAGGGUAGAUCUAACGGCGGAAAACUUGGUAGCACAAAGUGCUUCGUGCUAUUAAUAGCAUAGUAGCCGGACUCUCUAUAUAUAUAUAUAUAUAUAUAUAUAUAUAUAUAUAUAGUUUGCUAGGCUGGUAUACUAUCGGUAGCAUGGAGGUUUCCGUGCUACCAAGUUGUUUUCGAUGAUGCGGCUUCCAAAUCGAUGAUCGGCUCCGUAGACUUGAUCUCCACUAAUAAAAGUAUUUGAAAACUAAAUUUCAUAAUUUUUCGACAUCAUUUGCUAGUGAUCAAAAGGUCUCAAAAUUGACAAUUUUAAUGGUAGAUGUAAUGCAUUCGUGAAUUUAACGGUGUAAAAUAAUUCAAAACUGAUUAAAUUUUUAUAAAAAAUUCUUUUCACUAUUUAGAGUAAGAUCAGUAUAUCUGAUCUUAAAUUCAAGUCUUUUAUUAUCAUUUUUUAUGAAAUUUUUAUUUUCAGCCGUUUAUUUUUAAACUAUUUGUUUGAUAGAUAAAUGAUGUCGAAAAAUUAUGAAAUUUAGUUUUCAAAUACGUUAAUAGGGUAGAUCAAGUCUAACGAAACCGAUCGUCGAUUUGGAAGCCGCAUCAUCGAAGACAACUUGAUAGCAUGGAAGCAUCCGUACUACCGAUAGUAUACCAGCCUAGCUCGUGCUACCGAUAGUAUACCAGCCUAGCUCUAUAUAUAUGUAUACCAGCCUAGCUCUAUAUACUAGCCUAGAGCUAGGCUGGUAUACUAUCGAUAGCACGAGCUAGGCUGGUAUACUAUCAGUAGCACGGAGGCCUCCAUGCUACCAAGUUGUUUUCGAUGAUGUGGCUUUCAAAUUGACGAUCGGCUUCGUUAGACUUGAUCUACCCUAUUGAAAGUAUUUGGAAACUAAAUUUCAUAACUUUUGGACAUCAUUUACCUACCAAACGAGUAGUCUAAAAAUAAACGGCUGAAAAUAAAAAUUUUUAUAAAAAAUUAUGAUAAGAGACUUGAAUUUAAAAUCAAGGAUAUUGAUAUUACUCUAAAUAGUGAAAAGAAUUUUCUAUAAAAGUUUCAUCAGAUUUGGAUUAUUUUACACCGUGAAAUUCACAAACGCAUCACAUCGACUAUUAAAAUUGUCAAUUUUGAGUUUUUUUUAUCACUAGCGAAAUAAUGUCGAAAAAUUAUGGAAUUUAGUUUCUAUAUACUUUUAAUAGUGUAGAUCAAUUAUAAUGGAGCCGAUCAUCGAUUUGGAAGCCACAUCAUUGAAAACAACUUGGUAGCAUGGAGGCCUCCGUGCUACCGAUAGUAUGCCAGCCCAGCUCUCUCUCUCUUUCUCUCUCUCUCUCUCUCUUCACUCGAAUCAUCUAUCUCUUCUUCUCCACUAUAUUAUAUAAUAAUAUAGAGUGAGGCUAACUAUGCUUCUGGAAGCACAGCCUUCCGUGCUUCCAGGUCAGUUUUCAAUGUUGACCGUUUUCGAAUUAGUCGUUGACUCCGUCUAACUUGAUCUAGAGUAUUUGACAAUAUCCUAGAAAAAUAAAAUUUUGUAAAUUUUUCGAUAGUCAUUUGUAUAGUGAUUUCGAAGGGACUCAAAUCAAUAAUGUUUAAUGACGUGGCUGAGCGCGUUUGCCAAGUUUAAGGAUGUAAGAAAUAUCAAAUUACUGUUGAAUUUUGAUUUAAAAUUUUAUACUAUAUAUAUUAACAAGAUCAAUGAUCUUUGAAUUCUAAAUUUUAAUGUCAUAUUAUCAUAUUUUGUAAGAUUUUUAUUUUCAGCCGUUGAUUUUUAGCCUUAAGUUCAUAGGCAAUGAUAUCGAAAAUUAAAAAUUUAUGUUAUCUAGGGUACUUCAAAUACUCUAUGAUCAAAGUUUAACGGCAGACCGAUUGCCGAUUUGAAUGUCGCAACAUAAAAACGAACGCUGAAGCACGGAAAACUCUGUGCUUCCCGAAGCAUAGUAGCCUACAUAUAUAUAUACUAUAUAUAUAUAUAUUAUAUAUAUAUAUUAUAUAUAUAUCAUAUUAUAUAUAUAUGUAGAGCUAGUAUGGCUUAUGCAGUAUUAGAAUUUCCUUAUACUCAUAAUUUUUAACGAGUGAUUGAUGGGAUUGUCGUUAGGAUAAUGGCUGGACCCCACUUAGAAUGAUAGUAGUCUCCUAGAGGUUGAGGAUGGGCUUGUUCGGCUGAAUAGUAUGAUCUACAGGGGGGUGGAACUGAUCACGAUAAAUUAAGGGCCGAAACUUUAAAAGUAUAGAAAGAACAUACUACAUACAAAACUUAGUUAGCGGACUCUCUCUCUCUCUCUCUCCCCUCUCUUUCUUAUUUAUAUAUAUAUAUAUAUAUAUAUAUAUAUAUAUAUAUAUAUAUAUAUAUAGGGUUAUUUGCAUACACGUCCCUGCAAACAUAGUGAAUUGCGAAAAUAUCCAUGCAAAACGGAAACUCCAUAAGUUGUCCCUGUAAAAGUCCUAAGUUAUGCAGAUAUGUCCCUCCGGUUAACAUCCGUUAGUGAUCUGUUUAUUUUUUAAUAGUGGAUUCGUGAAAUGACCAUUUUACCCUCACUAAUAUAUCCCUCCAAAAGUUUUUCUCUUCCUUUCUCUUUCUCUUCCUCUUCGGACCGUCGAAGCGGACGACGGCGGCGGCGGCGCGGGGUCGGGUUCGGCGGCGACGAAGAAGAGGGAAGAACGCCGGGGCACCGGAGCUCUACCCAGAGCUCGUCGCCCUCAACGCCAUCCCCUCCCUCGCCGGCCUCCUCAGCCACGACAUUGCCGACAUCGCCGUCGACGUCGUCUCCCUCCUCACCGACCUCACCGACGUCGACGUCCUCGGCGACCACGACGACCCCGCGCACGCCCUCGUCGUCGCCCUCGUCAACAACAACACCGUCGAGCUUCUUGUCCAGAAAUUCGCUCACCUUUUCGAGGCCGACCCCGACGAGGUUCUUCUCCCUCGCCGGUGACGAAGAAGAGGGAAGAGGAAGAGGAAGAAGGAGGAAGGAAGAAGAAGGGAAAAGAGGAAGAGGGAAGAGGAAAAGGAAGAGGGUUCGCCGCCGUCGCCGCCGUCGACGCCGCAUCUCCUCGCUGGCGACGAAGAAGAAGGAAAAGGAAGAGGAGGAUGAGGAAGAAGGGUAAAUAAGUCAAUUCACACUAUAAUUAACCAUGGUUAAGUAUUUUAACCGUGGUUAACGAAAAUUUUCUAACAGAUCUGGACGGCAGGGACAUAUCUGCAUAACUUACGACUUUUGCAGGGACAACUUAUGGAGUUUCCGUUUUGCAGGAAUAUUUUCGCAAAUCACUAUAUUUGCAGGAACGUGUAUGCAAAUAACAUAUAUAUAUAUAUAUAUAUAUAUAUAUAUAUAUAUAUAUAUAUAUCUAUAUAGUUUAGUAGGGUAGUAAUACUUGUAAAAGUAUCAUGGGAGUGAUACUUGUGUGUUUUUAGCCCUGGAUGGAGAGAUGUGAGGUUGAGAUGAUGCGUGGUGGUGGUAGUAUUAAUCAAGGGCUAUUAAUAAUCAAAAAAUAGAUCUCAAUGGCUUAAAAACUAAUGCAUCAUGAUGGGUGAUACUGUAAAAGUAUCAUAGCUCAACUCUAUAUAUAUUAUAUAUAUAUAUAUAUUAUAUUAUUAUAUAUAUAUAUUAUAUAUAUAUAUAUAUAUUAUAUAUAUAUGAAACACCGAUGCGGACCAAUUAUCUUUAAUUCACGUGGUAGCUCAGAAUCUCCCAAGAUCGCCUGUGUCCUCAUCUCUAGUCUCAUUCACCACCCACCAGACAAACAAACAAACAAACAAAACUCUACGACCCAUAACAUAAACCAAAUGAGAUCAACAGCUGUCGAAGAAAACAAAUUAAAAGGCGGUUCUAUAUGUACAUGUUGCUGUUUGAAACUAAACUCCACGUCUCCACCAUGGGAGAGAGAAAGCGAGAGAGUGGAAAGAGCUCUUUUGAGAGGAAGCAGAAGAAAACAAAAGGUGAAGGGUGCCCGUACGUAGUUUAAAGGCCACACCUUCCUCUCUGGCUCAGAGGCUCAAAUUGUCCUGGAGAGUUAAUUGAGUUGGAACUGAUAUAUAAGGAGGAGGAGGAGAAAAUGUUCAUUUUAGUAAGCUGUGUAUCCUCGGGGCAUUAAUGGUGAGUAGUAGCACUUGGCACUUACCCCACAAGAUGGCUCAUAAUUGGUCAGUAAAUGCGCAGUUCUAGAGUUGAUGUGUGUGUGUGUGUGUGUGUGUGUGUGUGUGUGUGUGUGAGAGAGAGAGAGAGAGGGAAGCAGCUUUACUUACUUAAAGAGCCUUCUACGGCCAACAUAAAUACAUAACCGCCCAUUGAAGCAGCAAGAAAUAUUAUAAGCUUGCAUGAGGUCAUGUAGCUAGGAAAUAGUUUGUACUGAAAAAAUAGAUAUAUAGACUCUUAUCUUUAGGAGAGCAAAAUCAAGUAUGAGAAAAGAAGCUAUAUAUAAAUGAUUUGAUAGAGUCUUUUCUUUACAAUUUCUUGUUUCUUUCUUCUCUCCAUCUUCUUUACGUACGUCAAGGUUCACCCAUGGAGUAGAAAGAUUAAAGCAUAAACUAACCAAAACACAAACAAACACACACCAUGUAUAAACAUAAGCUGGUAACAUCGAGUAUUUCAUGGAGGCCAUAUAUAUACAUAUAUAUGUUCUUGGAUUUAAUAGCUAGCUAGCUCGACACACACAAAAGCCAUGGCACAUAUAUAUGUAGGAGAUAAUUAAGGACGAUGGACGUACGGGAAAGGAAAUUAAAGAGAAGGAGAAAAUAAGUAAUAAAGCGAGACAAAUAAGAGAGAAGAGGCCGAAUCCAACAGUUGAGUGUUUCAUUCCAUUGAAUUAAAUUUCUCCGAACAAGUCACCAACCAACUCGAUCAGUAGUGCUCUCCUACCUCGCAUCCUACAUCUUAAUAUAUAAUAUUGGACUGGAUACAUAUCCCUCCGUUACCACCAACACUACCAAAUCAAUCACAGGUAUACAAAAAGAAACCAAGCUCUAGCUAUAUAUAUAUAGGCCUAAUUAAUUAGAGAAUUGCAACAUAGCAUAGCAUAGCAUAGCAUAGCAUAGCGUCUAAGAAUACACGAUCGAUCGAGAGCUAGCGGGGGUGAGAAUACACGAUCUAAUCUAAUCUAAUCUAAUCUAAUCUAAUCUAAUCUAAAUCUAAAUCUAGAUAUAUAGGAAGGAGAGAUCAGGUAAGGAGUGAGGGAGGGAGGCGUACACGGUAGUAGUAGUAGAUAGCGGGUACGUAUUUAGGGUUUCUUGCCGAGGGUGUUCUUGUUGUUGUGCAUCCAGACUUUGAGGACGUGGCGGUGGAUGCAGGCCUCGUCGCAGAACUGCUGCACGGCGGCCUCGUCGUGCUUCUGGAUCCGCCAGCCCACGCGCUCCGCGAACGCCAGCAUCUUGUCCUUCUGCUCCUGCGUGAACUUGGUCCGGAACCGCUUCCUGCCCCCCGACGUCGACCCGCCCCCGCCGCCGCCGCCGUCCUCGCCCUCCUCCCUGCUCCUGCUGUGGCCCCCCGAGCUCGACGGCAGCGCCAGCUGCCCCGGAUGCGCCGCNGGGUCUUUGCGGUGGAAGUUGCGGUGGCAGCCGCAGGCGGCGCAGCGGAGGCCGUCGAGGGUGCCGUCCUCGCCGGCAGGCAUGAACUCGCCGCAGCCGUCCACGGCGUGGCCCCCGAUGCCCACCGCGUGGUUCUUCAGGCACUCCCUAUACCUCCCCAUCCCCACUCCCCCGGCCGCCUUCCGCUGCUGCCGCUGCUGCUGCCGCUGCUGCUGCCGCUGCUGCUGCUGUCCCGACCACCCCCCGACAACUCCAGCAACUCCUCCUCCGCCGCCGGGUCUGCCGGAAUUCGCCGCAGCAGCCGAAGGAGUUUCCAUCUCCAUCCCCAUCCCCAUCUCCUCCCCCUCCUCCUCCUCCUGCUCCUCGAACUCCAUCUCCCCCUCCCUCCCUCCCUCCCUCUCUCCUCCGGCGAUCGCCGGUCAGAUCUCUCCAACUACCGGCCCCUUUCUUCUUUUUUCUCUCUUUUUUUUUUAAAUUUUUUUUUUUAAAAAAAAAAUCCUCUCGACUAAACUCGGAGUUAAUGAAAGGGAAUAAAGUGUGAAAGCGCCAUUAAUUUUUGAUGCAGCAGCUCCUGUGCGAGGGCCUUUGUGUUAUAUGAACACUACUGUAAACUAAAGCUCCGCUCUUUACUACACACACACACACGCACACACACACGCACUCUUCUCUCUCUCUCUCUCUCUCUCUCCCCCUCUUAGGAUCUCUUUACUAUACUCCCCGGUCGAUGGUGGCUACCCCCACCGGCUAACGCCGGUUACCUUAAGCCGCUCCCAAAACCCUCGUCCCCAUCCCCCCUUCGUUAUGUAGUGUAAUCUCACUCAUCGCUAAACCCACUUCCCCUUCUACUCUUACUUAUAUUAGUGUCUGGUUUCUAUUUACUUUUUUACUGUGUAACUCUACCGCGGUGAAUGGCCAAAAAAAAAAAAAAAAAAAAAAAAACAAAAAAAAAAAAAAAAAAAAAAAAAAAAAAAAGUCACGUCAACAAAAAAAAAUACGCCGGAAAUAAGGAAGAAAUCAAAAGGUUAAAGCAACCAAAAAGCUAAUUUCUUUUUUGUAAACUGAUUUCUUUUUCUUUUCUUUUUUUUUUUUACUUUUUACUAGUUUUAGAGUUUGACCGUUCUCAGCGUCCAAAAGAGAAGUAAAAGAGAGGACUAGAGUAGAGAGAGACAUGUACGGAAAUUUAUUGCUCUUUUUUACUAAGUUUGUGUUUUUUUUUUAAAAAAAAAAGGAAAAAAAAUAUAACAGUAAAUUAAUUGCAGAGGAAAUUAAGCUUCGCAGGUUACGUGCGUGGCUCCUCCGACAUGCGUGACACGCCACAGGCGUAAACACGCGCACUUCGCAUACGGCCCUGCAUGCCUCAAAAAUUUCCUCUUUUUUUUUCCCUUAAAAAAAGGGUAUUUUUAUGUAUAUUUCCACGACAAUUUAAUUGUUACAUAAUUAUCUUUUAAAAUUUUCAAUUAAUUAUGAAAUUUCAAUAUAUUCUUUUAAUUUUAUGGUCGGUUCACUGCUGAAUUUAGCCAUUUUUACACCGGUUUUAAAAAAAGUAUGAAAUAAUAGUUCGAAAAUUAAAUAGGAAUUUUUUUUCCUGGAUGUAUGGUCCAAAAAAAUGUGACGAGGCUGGAGAAAAGGUUGAAAAAGGAAUAUUAUGAAAAUGGUUAAAUUUUAAUAUUAGAUGAAGAAAUAUAUAUAUAUAUAUAUAUAUGGCUAGUGCUACUAUAUACUCUUAUGAGUAUAGAGUUCUUCGUACUCAUAAGUUGUUUUCAAUGAUUGAGCUUCCAAAUCGAUGAUCCACUCCGUUAAAUAUGAUCUAGAGUAUUUGAAAUUUGUAGAAAAUAAAUUUCGUAAUUUUUCGAAAUCAUAAUAAAGUCCAUCAAGUGGGUAUAAAAUGAAUGGUUGAAAUCGAACGACGUCCUAAAAAUGGAUGAUCGGAUCCUUCAAUUUAAGAUCGGAGUUAUUAAUCUUUAUCUAGAUAGUAAAUAAAAUUUUCUAUCAAAAAUUCAACCGAUUCCGAUUCUUUUACACCGUUAAACUAACAAGUAUACCGGCCGUUAAAAAUUAUCAAUUUUGUGACUUUUUGAUCAUAAAAUAAAUGAUGUCAAUAUAGAGAGAAAGAGAGUUGAGCUAGAAUACUAUUAAUAAUAUUUUGACUUUUUUGUUAUCGAUCUUUUGGCGAUUAAAUCUACACCGUAAUUAGUUCUACCCUUUAGAUAAAUACCAUUCAACUAACCACCCACUCAAUCCUUGGGCGACCACCACUAAACCUUAGGGGACUGCUAUCAUCUUAAUCCCACAAUAAUUUUUUAUUUAAAGGUUAAAACCUAGAUUGUAAAAAAGUCCAAAUAUAUAUAUUUUUAUUAGCUAUAGGAAUGUUGGAUUAAAUACAUCAGUGUCUUCCAAACUUUCGUCCAUGCAAAAUGUUAUCUAACUUUUAAAAUUUUUAUAAUUAUAACUCAAAAUUUUAAAAUUUUAUAAUUGGCCGUUUAAUUUCAUGUUAUACCAAUGUAAAGUAACAAACAUUAGCCAAAUUGCGAAACAAUAAAGAAGCAUGGCGGCAUAUAGAUUAAUUUUCUUAAUGCCAAAUGCUUAAGGCAUGUUUAUUUCAUUGAAAGUGACUGAAGGGGAAAUUUCUUUUAGCCAUAUAUAUANAUAUAUAUAUUUGUUAAUUAUUUCGUUUAUCGUAAAUAGUCCAAAACUCCUUUUUCCAGAACACCAUAAUAAACUUCGCCCUGAAUUGCGGGAAAUCAAUUACAGAAAAUGAGAUAGAAAAGAAUUAAUCAAAUUAACUGUUAUAAUUUGUUUAACCCUCUCACAUGAUAUAUAGUGUGAAAGUUUUCAAUAACAAAAAUAAACAUAGGGAGAUAACUAUAGCUCCAAAGUUAUUGACUUGUGUACAAUGGUGGAAAAAUAAUUAUCACCUUCACUUUAGUUCAACUAAAAUUUAUGUUCAACCUAAAAAAUGAAGGUAAUUUACAAGACCCUGUUUUGCAGUAAAGAAACUAAUAUUUGGUAAUUGACUGUCAAAAAUUAAAGUCGGUAACUUUGUUCAAUUUAGCCAGAUAAAACUUCAGUAGUGAUGAGCUACCAAGCGACGCUUUAUUUAGGCUCCCUAUAUAUAUACUGCCACGUAUUAAUUUUACCUCCAUCCAAUCAUCCGUAUCUAUCUUUAAUACCAAAUCUAAAAAUUAUUCUUAAACCCUAGAAGGAAGGACUAUAUAGCUUUAAUACCAAAUCUAAAAAUUAUUUAGGCUCUCCACUAAAGCUUCUUUUUUUUUUUUUUUCCAACUUAGCCUACAAGACUAAAGUUUUGGCAUCACAAAAACAAACACUAUACCGCUGAUAUAUGCAUCCUUUAUUAUUUCUUAAUUAUCUGAUUAAUGUUGAUAGAUAGGUAUCAAGUUAAGUUUAAUAAUUCAGGUAAUGAUUCGGAUGUAUCUAACAUUAAUCCAGUAUGGUAGUGGAGCAUGCAUAACUCAUUUCUUUUGGUUGACCAUUGCAGCGUAACUGCUCAUUAAAUAGAGGUUGGAUUGGAUGCAUCUGAUCACCGUGAAUUUGUCCCGAGUCUAUCCAUGGGGCAUAAACUACAAAACGGAUAAGAUUUGGGUGCAAUAAGUUUGCCACUAAAUCCUGCAUCUAUUCUUAAGUUGGAGGCAAGUGGACUUUAAAUGUGCUUUGCAAUGAACACGUGUCCUCUAAACUUUAGCUAUGAGUCAUAUAUAUGGAGCGCACACUUGGCGUUGAUCUAGUCCUAUGAUGAUAUUAGGCACCCGAAAAAUGAAUUAUUAUUUGCAGAAUUAAUGUAUGGUACGUUUAGGAUUCAUAACAUUUAAGAAACUUUAUAUAUUUUAUGUUUGAAAUGAUAAGAUUGUUAGAAGUGUACAUACUUUUUUUUCUUUUUUCUUUUUUCUUUUUUUUGUAAGAACGUACAAAACUUAUCUGAGCUAUAUAUAGAUCAUUUUGAAUCAAUAAUUUAACGUUUUAAAAUUUUAAUUUUACUGUUUAUUCUUUCAAUUUGUCUUAUUUUAGUCAACCAAACAUACCAAACAUACUUUGACCUUAAAAUUUGAAAUAAUUACUUAUUUUAAUAAAUUUAUAAUUACGAAAAUUAUAUGACGUAUACUAACUGAAUCAGCAAAUUAAUUAAGAUAAACGAUACAUUCAAAUUUUAAAACAAAAGUACUGAUGACGAACUCAAAUUAAAUAAAUUGAAAGAUUUGGUAGAAAAAUUAAAAUUUUAAAAGGUUGAACAGCUAGCUCAAAAUGGUUUAUAGUUCAGAUAAAUUUUGUAUAGUUUUACCUAUAUUUUUUUUAUAUAGUAAACUAGCUACUCACAGGUUACCAUUCUCAUCAAAUUUGAGAGUCAUUGAGCCACGUAACUCGUGAUACUCUAAUAUGACUACUAGUUGGAAAUUUUGAUUUUAUAAUUUUACCAAUAAUUACAAUUUUAUAAUUUGAAUUGUAUGCUGAUGAUUAGAAUAUCCUAAAUAGAAAAUAUAAAGAGUUAUCGAAAUAUCAAAAAUUGUGAAACAAAUCAAACGUCCUAAUAAAUAGUUUUGUACCAAAUUAGUAAUGUGGUAAUUUUCUUUUGGCUAAAUUAUAUUAAGCUUUUUUCUCAAAAUUCAAUUUUUCAUUUUUUUUCUUUUGUCAUUUAAAAACCUACGCUUUGACUCCUUAUAAAAUAAAAAAUGUUCACAGAGAGAUACGGUGUGAACUGUGAUGACGACAAAAUGACCCUCACUAUUUUCGUCUCCUCUCUCAUCUCGCUCAUCCGCUGCCUCCGCUCUUCAAUUUUUCGCGUCUCGAUCGGCCGGAGUUUGUCUCUAUUUUUUUCUUCGCCUACUCCCAUUCUCCUCCAGUCCUCUCGUCGUUCCUCCAUUUCGGCGACAGUAGCGAGAAAAUUGAAAUGGAAGGAAAUCGAGAAAAUCGAGGCGGGCAAAGACAAGGGCGAGGGCGAGGCAGAGGAGGGCGAGGCAACAUAAGAGAUGGCUGAGGAUAUUUUUGGCAUAAAAAAUAUAUAAGAAUAUUUUAUAAACGAAAUUCUAAUGGAUCACUAACGGCAGAGAUGAAUGAACAUUUUUUAUUUUAUAAAGGGGCAAAGUGUAGAUUUUUAAAUGAUAGGGGGGAAAGUGAAAAAUUAAAUUUUGACAGAGUUUCUUUUGUAAUUUAGCCUUUUUCUUUUUUUUUUUUGUAGUUUUUUUUGUUUGUUAUAAUUACCAAUUUAUUGAUGAGCUAGCCUAUUCCAUUCUCUUGCAAAUCAUACAAAUUACUUAAAUAUUACAAAUUCUUUCUUUAUUUCCACAUGUAAUAUAUCUAAGUACUACUCAUAGCGUUGCUUACAAAAGAAAUGGUCCGUGUAGGGAUUCGGGAUGUCCCAAUGCAUGCAACGUCAAAACAAAGCGUUACCUAUGAUAAUUAAGUGACAUAUAUAGGUACUAAUCUUUAAUUUGUAAAAUGGUACGUACCUAUAUUGUUUUUUUUUUUUUUUUCAUAGCAAUCUCUUGUGGUACCGUCCAUAAAGCGUGUUUAUUGGAUCUGAAUCUAGCUAGGUGUUGAAUAAUUAUGAUUUUAUCGGGUGCAAAUUAAUGUUCAACAUGGGACCAAAGUGGAUUAUUGGAUGUAUAAAUUAAUUCUUUUAAGGCACAUCUAUCACGACCAUGUUUUUUUUCUUUUUUUUCCUCUUUUCUAAUAUAUUGAAAUAAUAUUUAGACCACUAAUUCGAGACAAAGCCGUUCUAAUUUGAUAAGAAUCAAAAUAUUGAUUUGAUCAACCUAAAAUAAAAUGAUUAAUUAGCUCGAGAGCUUGUUUGAAUUAUACUUAGUUGACUUGUGUUUGGAUUGUGUAAAUUAACCUAUCUGUAAAAAGUACAAAUUAAAUUAAUUACAAAUCCAGGAAGAGAACACUAUAUAUAAUGCAUGCACAGAGUGAGAACGUAGAUUUACAAGUUUUUAUUUUAUUUUAAACGCUGGUUGGCAGGGGAAUGACCCAAACAAUAGUCGAAAAAAUUGCGUUAACAUGGUUCAUCGCAUCAGCCAAGAACCAACUCCAUAAAUAUAUAAUUUAAUUAUAAAAGAAUCAAAAUUCAGAAUAUAAAUGAGUAAAUAACCAAUGAAGUCUAAAAUGUCUACAAAUCGAAUAUCAUGAAAUUUCUAAGCUUGUAAUCUAAGCAUCAUAGAGUUAAUUAAUUAGAUAUGUCAACAAGUUUUCGGAAAUUUUGAUCUAUGAUUUCUGAUAUGCACUUACCGUCCCUAGUGCAAGUAGCAAAGCGUUUGAUAGUUGAUACCCGAGGUCCUAAGUUCGAAUAUUAGUUGAUUCACAUUUCUAGCUAAGUUUAUUUCUAAAUGAAAUAAACGAAGCAAGUAGCAUGCUAUCUAUCUCUCUUUAAAAAGAAAAAAAGAUUUCUGAUAUACGUGCAUUUAGGUGUCGAAGAAUACAUUAAUUCAGCACUUCAAGCUAAGGUUCUAAAAAUUGAGUUUUAGAAAACUUAUUAUAUUGAUGAAUCAGGUCGAUCUAAGCAACGCAAGAUUUAGCUAAGAUCCAGUAACUAUGAAAUUGAUCAAAUCACGCAACUAAACUAAGAUAAUUGAGCCAAAGUUCUCAAUUAUUAUAUAUUUUUUAAAAAAUGCUAACUCGAUCCACUUACAAUCAAGGAAGAAAUGAAAUCUUAACCUACCACUUUUGGUUACCGUAACAAAUCUAGUUUUACAAUCCAAAAUGAGUUAUAGAAAUAGCGGAGCUCCUUAUGUUUCAAAAAUAAAUAUAAUUAAGAACGCAUUUGAUAGGAUAAAAGUGGGCGGCUUAACCCACAAUUGCAUCAAAGUAUAUGGUGCACAUGUUUUUUGAGAAAAGCAACUCAUUUCAUUUGACAUGGCAGUGAGUUUGCGUACUGCAUGAACUCGCCGUAAAGAGUGGGCGAUUGUCGAUAUGUAACUUCUGAAUACCAAACACGUCCAAACUAUGAACAGAACCGAGCCGAACCGAAUCAAAUCGAAUCGAACCAUGCACGGAGAGAAUCAACCCGGCCCAAAACUAAUCCAAGAGUGGUAAAUAAUUUUUGACCAACUUAUAAUUACGUGGAACGCAUUUUAGUGUCACCUAGCUGGUGGGAUCAUCAAGGGGAAUGAGAUUUUGAUGCUUUUAAUACUCGCAUCAUGGCAAGGAAAUGGUGGGAGUCAGAAGCUGAAAAGAUGGAUCAAAGAGAGAGAGAGAGAGAGAGAGAGAGAGAGAGAGGGGGGGAGAUAAAGGCGAAGGCGUUACAUCUCGGAACUUGAUGCGCAGGGAUCCAUGCCAAACUCCUCCACAUUACCUCAUCAUUUAAUUAUUUAAAUAACAAACAAACAAAAUAGCCGUUAAUUUAAGAAUAACCUUCAAUUUCUCCCACUAACGAUCUCAAAAAAUUAUUAUUCUCAAUUAUAUACUUUAUAUAUAAUUUUGUUUCUAUUUUUAUCUAAAACAGUUAUUAUCAAAUAAGAUAGGGACGUAAAAAAUUUUGGUAAUCACAGUAUAGUUAAAUAUAAUAUUUCAAACCACAGUAAAAUUGGACUGAUUGAACUUUGUCCAUUAAUUUAAUUUAACCAUAUCCUCGUCCCACACACUAACCUACACAUUUAGACAAAAUUAUGCAUGGUCAAAAUAUUUCUUAUUUAAAAUCUUGAUUUGACGAUUCAUUAGUGAUUCAUUUCGAAGAUAUGUAGCUUAUUCAAUUGAUGGUUGUGUAAUGCAUAUGUACAUAUAUAUAAUAUCUACACUAACUCACUUGCUACUAUCAAUGAUAAAUAAUUGUUCAACUUUACAGAAAACUUAGUUUAAAAUUUAAAUAUUUCGCGACGUGGAGCAAAUUUGUAAAUUUUUUGGUUCUUUUCUUAGAUAAGUCAGGUGAAGAUAACAGUAAAUAAAGCAAGUUAUCCAACAUGACCUGUUUAGUAGUUGGUAUAUCAGGUGUGGAUCCCAAUUCCAUUCAUUUCAAGUAACCUAGUAAUUUGAGGAAGAAACAAUUACUAACAUGACCUAGUUACUUAGUUGGUAUUUGAUUCCGGCCGCAUGAGCGUUUGAUAAAUAUGGAUUAGAUUUCCGACUUUUUGAGUACCAGACAAUUUUAUUCUAAUUGACUGUAUUUAACACGAGUGGUAAAAGGCUUAAUGAUCAAUACCCAAGCUGGUGAGUAUGAAACCUAGUUGCUGGACGUUUCUAAUUAAAUAUAUUUUAAAAAAAAUUCUAAACAAAAUAUGUACGUAGGUUGGAAUUGCAAUAAAAAAAAUCGGACUUAUGCCAACACUUCUUAAAUAUUAGGGCUAGGGCUACUAUACUCUUUUGAGUACAGACUCUUUUAUACUUAUAAAUUUUCGGUCGUUAGAUAAAGGAAUGUACCAGACAAUUAUAUAUAUAUAUAGAGUUGAGCCGGAAUACUAUCGGUAGCAAACGGGCUCCGUUGCCACCCAUUUGUUUUCGAUGAUGGAGUCUCCAAAUCGACAAUCGGCAUCGUUGAACAUGAUCUAUACCACUUGAAGUGUUUAGAAAUCAAAUUUCAUACUUUUUCGAUAUUAUUCUCUUGUUCAUCAAGUGGGCGUAAAAAUGAACGGCUGAAAAUGAAUAUUCUCUAAAAAGUGAUGAUAGUAAUUUUGUAAUCAAGAUCAAGAGUAUAGAUCUUAUUCUAAAUAGUUUAAAAAAUUUUCUAACCAAAAUUCAAUUGAUUUGGAUAGCUUUAUACAGUUAAACUAGAAAACGCCUCAUAUCAACCAUUAAAAUUACAAAUUUUGAAACCCUUUGAUCAUUAGGCCAAUGAUGUUGAAAAUAUUUGAAAUUUGAUUUUUAAAUACUUCAAGUGAUAUAGAUCAUGUUCAACUGCGCCGAUCGUCGAUUUGAAAACUUCAUUAUCGAAAACAAAUGGGUGGCAAUGGAGCCCAUUUGCUACCGAUAGCAUUCCAACUCAACUCUCUCUCUCUCCAUUUGCUACCGAUAGCAUUCCAGCUCAACUCUCUCUCUCUCUCUCUCUCUCUCUCUCUAUAUAUAUAUAUAUAUAUAUAUAGAGUCCAACUACUAUCCUCUUAAGAGAAUAGAAGUUUUUGUCCUAUCAAGUUAUUUUGAAUUAUCAGGACUCUAAAUUGAUAAUCGGCACCGUUAAAAUUGAUCUACACUAUUAAAAAUAUUUAGAAACUAAAUUUUACAAAUUUUAAAAAUUAUUAUCAAAUUUAUCACAAGUAAAAAAUGAACAGUCAAAAAUAAAUAAUCUUCUAAAAAUAGAAGUUAAACUUUUUUUAAUUCAUGAUCGAAGUUAUCAAAUAUUAUCUAAAUAGUAUAAAAAAUUUCUAUCACAAAUUCAAGCGGUUUGGAUUGCUCUACAUCAUUAAACCAGCAGACGACUUACAUUGGCAGUUAAAAACAGUCAAUUUUGCAAUCCUUUGAUCACUAUAUAAAUAAUUCUUAAGAAUUAUAAAAUUUAGUUUCUAUACACUUCAAAUAUUCUAGAUCAACUUUAACGGCUCUGAUCAUCAAUGUGGUGUUUCUAUCAUCAAAAAUAAUUUGAUAGAACAAAAGUCUUCGCCCUUCUAAAAGGAUAGUAGCUGAACUCUCUCUCUCUCUCUCUUUAUAUAUAUAGAGAGAGAGAGAGAGAGUAGGACUAUUAUACUUUUUUGAGUAUAGUUUUUUUUGUACUCAUAAGUUAUCUUAAAUGAUGACGUUUCCGAUUCGAUGAUACAGACUGUUAAAUAUGAUUUAGGAUGUUUGAAAUUUCUAAAAAAUAAAUUUUGUAAUUUUUCGAAACUAUAAUAAAAAUCUAUCAAACUGACAUAAAAUGAAUGGUCAAAAUUAAACAACAUCCUAAAAAUAGAUGACUAUUCUUCAAUUUAAGAUCAGAGUUAUUGAUCCUUAUUUGGAUACUGAAUAGAUUUUUUUAUUAAAAAUUUAAUUAAUUUUGAUUUUUUUAUACUGCUGAACUAGCAAAUAUUCCAUACCGACUGUUAAAAAAUUAUUAAUUUUAAAAUCUUUUGAUCAUAUGAAAAAUAAUAUCAAAAAAUUAUAGGAUUUAAUUUUUAGAUGUUUCAAUUACUGUAAAUCAUAUUUAUUAACAUGGAUCGUCGAUUCGAAAAAUUUAUCAUCGAAAACAACUUAUAAAUACGAAGAUGAUCAUACUCAUGGCCGGACUCGAUCAGAAACUAUUUGACGCGUGUAGAAUAGAUAUACACAAGAAAAACUCUUUAAAAUUUACGAGGGUAAACUUCAAAAACCACCCCUGUGGUUUUGCACUUUUUUAUUUUCGUACCCUAUGGUUUAAAAUAUACCAGGUUGGUGUCAUGUGGUUUCAUUUUUUUUCUUUUCGUCAGCUUCUCCGUUAAUAUUUCGUUAAAUUUUAUAAAAAAAAAAAACUUCAGAUACCCCACAUAGGUUUAUCGAAUAUUCACUCUCGUACACUUUGUUACUUUAUAUAAAUAUUUCUUUCUUUUUACAGGAUAUUAGACCUUCCUUGUAUUAUUGUAUACUAUAUUAGUUUUCUUACCAAUUCAUGAUUCACCAUGUAUUAGCUUAACCUCUCUUUAUAUAAAGAAAUCUUUUGUAAUUUAUCAAACAAGAAAGAAAUAUAUUUCUUCUCCAAUUAUCUUUUGUUUUCAUGAUAUCAGAGCGCGACUAGCUUAAUCUGCAAAAGCUCGUCGUUCGUAUCUCUUGACCUGGUUCUGCCAUGACAUUCGCACCUCCAUCGAUGCCGCCUUUACAGGUUCCUACACCGGCACCUCUAUCAAUGCCGCCUGUACAGGUUCCUACACCGACUAUUGCUCAGCUCGAUGUUUCCGGGCCUAAUUAUCAUGAAUGGUCGGUGUCCAUUCAACUCUUGGUUGAUGCUCUCGAUCUUACUGGACAUAUUGAUGGUGUUGGUCUACCAACCGAUGAUUCCAAACUCAAUGACUGGCUUGUUGCUGAUCGACUUGCUCGUGGAAUUAUUUCUACAUCGGUAAACAUAGACAUUCGGAUGCAGCUUAUCAAUUUGUCCAUCGCUCACCAGAUGUGGUCUCUUCUUCGGCAGAUGUAUGAGCAGCCUAGUUAUGCUCAAUCGUAUGCUGAAUUUCAAGAGAUCUCCAUGGCUCAUCAAGGUGAGCGUAAUAUCCAAGAGUUUUAUAGUUUUAUGCAGGCGCCUACUUCUAUUCACUAUGCUGCUCUUUUAUGCAUCUUGUGCUAUUUGCGAGGAAAUAUUCAUCAAAGUCUAUUCUUUUCAUCCUCUUCCAAGCCUCAACUUCGUGCCUAUUGUGAUGCUGAUUGGGCUAGCGAUCCUACUAAUCGUCGGUCUACGACUGGCUAUUGCGUUUGCUUUCGGGAUUCUUUGAUUUCUUGGCGUUCGAAGAAACAAAAUAUUAUCGCCAAAUCUAGUACGGAAGCUAAAUAUCGUGCAAUGUCCUCUGCCGCCUCAAAAAUUGUAUGGCUUCGCCGACUCCUUAGUGACCUUGGUGUCCAGUUCUCUACUUCAACACCUUUAUAUAUAUUGUGACAAUCAAAGUAUUAUCAAAAUUGCGAAUAAUCUUGUCUUUCAUGAACGCACUAAACAUAUCGAAAUUGAUUUUCACUUUGUGCGCCAUCAUUUUAUUAAUGGAACGAUAUCUUUGCCGUUCGUUCCCUCUGCUCAACAACUUGUUGAUUUUCUCACCAAAUUUCAGACUACUAAACGACAUCAAUACCUUCUAUCCAAACUCUCAGUGUUUACUCCACCUUGAGUUUGCGGAGGGGUGUUACUUUAUAUAAAUAUUUCUUUCUUUUAUUUUAUAUAAAUAUUUCUUUCUUUUUACAGGAUAUUAGACCUUCCUUGUAUUAUUGUAUACUAUAUUAGCUUUCUUACCAAUUUAUGAUUCACCAUGUAUUAGCUUAACCUCUCUUUAUAUAAAGAGGUCUUUUGUAAUUUAUCAAACAAGAAAGAAAUAUAUUUCUUUUCCAAUUAUUCUUUAUUUUUACUCUUUACUUUUAACCUUGUCAUUGAUUUAAUGAAAAAAAAUUAGUGAAAUCAAUAAUAAAAGAAUAAAAAUAAAAUCACAUGACACUAAUUUGAUAAACUUUAAACCAUAAAGUACGAAAGUGAAAAAGUACGAAAUCACGGGGUAUUUGAAGUUUUCCCAAAAUUUAAAUAUAAUAGCUAGAUCGCUUCGAUCUAUUAACAAGUGUUGGGUGCAGUGCAUGAGAUGGACAGAUGUACACGAAUGCAUGCAUAUUAAUAUUAAUUUCUGGCAAAUUUGGGUACAAAUGCGAACAUAAGAAGGGUGUUUGCUGUUUGGGGCCAGAGAGCCAGAGGAGGAAAGAGGAGGGCGGGGAGACGGAGAAGAAGAGGGCAUGUGAAGGGUCGUACUGACGUCCCCCUCGAUCUGACAGCCCUCCGUAGAACCCCCCAUCAGCCCUGUCAGCUGCCAGGAAACAGCAAGACUCGAAAAAAAUUUUUAAAAAAAAUCUAGAAUAUACCUAUUAUAUUACUAACAUUUUACGUUCCCAACCAAUAAAAUGAUUCUUAUUUGAUUUAUCUAUUUUAUUAUAAUUUGCAAAAAAACAUUCUUACUAUAUUUUUUUUAAAAAAAAUAAUAUGAUUAAUUUGUUAAGGAUGACAUGGUACAACUAGGACACAAUAGAAUUUCUUGCAAGACUUGAGAGUCUUUUAUUUCAGUUUUAAAGUAAAUUUUUUUUUCUUAUUUUAGGUUAAUUAAUUGGUGGGCACGUAAAUUACAAAAAGUUUUCCUUGCACUACAACAAAAACGAUCUAUAACGACACUUUUAAAUAUAGGUAUAUGUCAAAAAAGUGCUGUUAGCUAAAAUUACCGACAUUUUUAAAAAGUGUUGCUAUAUGUGGGGUCGCUAGGUAUAUAGUAACAGUUAAAGAGUGUCGCUAUAACCUAAAAGAGUGCUGCUAAUUUACCAAUACUUAUUUAAGCAUUUAGCAACCGCCGAAACUCUAUCUCGUUAGCUUCGAUGGCGGAGGAGGACGACAGGAAAGGCUCUUCGUCUAGAAUUUCAGUGGAUUGAGUGAAGAGAGAAGAAAAGAUGGUAAUUGAUUUUUCUUUUUUUUUUCUUUUCUGUUUGUAAUCGGGCCAAAUAGACUGGGUGUGGUGGGUUGAGUAGAGUAAUCUUUUAUUUUUGGUUGGAUUGGGCUUUAUAUAUAGGCAUUAGUAGAUGUUUUUUUAAAUUUUAGGAUAAAUGGGACACUUACUCAAAAAUGUCCCAAACAUGUGUCCCUAUAACCUAAUUUUGUUGUAGUGUUGGUUCGUUUCAGGAACAUUUUCACUCAUAAAAAUAUAAUUUAUUUGUUUUAUUAUUUUUUCUAAGAUGUUAAAUGUAAAAAUAUAUAAAUAUCGUUUUCUAAGCCUCCGUUUGGUUCGGGGUUAAGGAAAAAGUAGCUAUUCCAGGGAUAGAGUUAAGUUCAGGGUUAAAGUGGGGUUAAAGUUUUUUUGUGUUUGGUUGGGGGUUGGAGUUAGUCUAGAAUAAUGAAAAAUAGUGUUUGGUUGGAGUAGGUGGGAUAAGAAGAUAAUGAUUGAUAAAGAAGGAUAAUGAUUGGUUGGAGUAGGUGUGAUAAGAAAGAUAGUGGGUUAUUAUGAAUAGAAAAUAGUGUUUGGUUGGAGUUUGGUGGGGUUAGGUGGGGUUAGCUAACCCGGGAUAAUUUAUUUGAGGUGGGGUUAGCUAACCCCAUCCAUUUUUUGAGGUGUUUAGGGAUAAUAUGGGGGUUAAGGGGUUAUUCCACCCCUUAACCCCCAACCAAACAAGGGCUAAUAGUUUAAAAUUUUAGAAUACGACUAUUGUUUCAUAUAUUUUACUUUUAUAUAUUUUACAGAAGAUGCUGAGAAAAUUCAGUAUGUUGGAAGAAUCAAAAUUUAGUUGUUAUUUUGCUAGUUGAUAAUCAGGUUGUUGAAUAUAAAUAUUAAAAAUAUAUUUUCUGACAAUUUAUAAUUUGAAAAAAAAAAUAUUUUUUUCACACAAUUUAUCAUGCUUGGUGUCGAAACAGUAGGCCUUUAUGUUGCAUUUCAAUUACUCUUUUCCAUUUAGAAAUGUAUUUUUUUUUACUUAGUUGCAUUUUAUUACUGUUAUAUAUUAAAGUAAAUACUAAAAUUAGUUGUAAAAGUUUACAAAAAUGAAUAAAAAUAUCACAUCCCCAUGCAUGCAACUCAGUAUAUAUCUAUCUAAUUUAUUAGUUAAAUAUGGGAUGUAAAGUUAAAAAAUCACAAAUCUUACUUUGGCAAAAUAGUCUAAGUUAAUAGUUUGUUAAAUAAUUUUAUUUAAUUUACAUAAUUCUACUCCAUUAAUAUAUCUAAAAUUGUCUGAAAACUCAUUUCUAAACAAAUUUAUUCUCGAAUUUAUCAAUUAUUUAAAGUAUGGCCUAAUUAAGAUAUAUAGUGAUAAAAUAUAUGAUGAAAUUUGACAUAAAUUUUAAUGCUAGAGAUAAUUGAGACACGACAUAAAGAACCAAAAAAAUUAUAAUUUAACCUAGAAGGAACUUCAAAUAGCUUUGUUGUAUAAAACAGUAAUUACUAAUUAGCCUAGCUAAUGUUGGAUAUCUAGGCAUGAUCAGGUGAGAAAAUUUAUAUUUUAUAAACUGCAGGAUAACAAAGCACUUUACUUUAUACUUAUAAUCAUUCUAUAGUUUAUAAAAUAUAGAGUUUUUUUGUCAAUUUUAACUAAAAAUUGAUAAAAAAAUUUUUAAAAAAUCUGAAGAUCAGAAAAAGGCGAAGUUGUACUUUGAUCAAUCUGUAAACUGCAGAAGGCCUCUUUUUAAACUUUUCUUUUAAAAAAAAAAAUUGCUGGCCAAUUUUAACCUCUUUCAGUCAACUGGUCUUAGGUGGACUAAAUUAAGAAUUUGCUAAAAUUAUUGACUUUGGACUCAUUGCCCAAUUGGAAUUAGUCGACAUAUACAUAUAUUUACUACAUUAGUUUUAUAUCUGUCACAUUGUUUUCAUCUUAUAUAAUUUUCAGUAUUAUUUCAAUAUAAUAAAAUUAUUAUAUUACUUUUAAUUGGAUAUUUUAUUAUCACACAUUAAUUGUAAAAUUUAGAGGGAGAGAUGGAGGGGAGAGAGAGAUUAUUGCCUGCACCAGAUGUCUAUGUACACUUCAUACACCAAACUACAACCUAUGUUAAAAGUCUGAGGAAAGUUAAUAGUUCUUUUUUUUUUUAAUUAGAAAGCUUGUGAAACAAUUGUUUGCUUUCGAAGCUAACAAAAAAUACAUAUGAGAGUUGUUUGGUUCCACAUAAUUACAACUUUAUUGCCGUUGUUACUGUAUAUAAAUGCAAAUCUGAUGUUUAAUUUGAUGUAUUUGAAUUAAUUAAAAUAUUGUAAUUAGAACUACAUGGGAAGGCUCAACUGUGUAGUUAAAAUUACGCCUAAAUUAAUCGCACAACUGCAAUAACUAGACAGAAUGAUCCAAGAUAAAGCCUACCAACUUAAUAACCUUUUAAAUAGAAAAUUUUCUUUUCCUUAGAAAGGAGGUAAUUUCACCACACAAUAUAUAAAAUAAUAAAAUCUUAUAAAUGCACUCGCCUCAAUCGCAUAAAACCAAACAAAUAUUUAUAACCGCAGCAUGUUCUACUAUAUUUUGAUCAAAUAAGAUGUAUAUAUAUAUAUUUGUAAUUACUGCAUUUCUAACUAUAUACAUUUUUAAUUAGCUAUACUGUAUUUACAAUUACAUUUAAUCAACCGAUCACCUUAGAUGUGCGGUGCAUGAGAUGUAUUUAUACACCCGAUAUAGACAACAAUCCAAGUUAUUUAGAGAGAGAGAGAGAGAGAGAGAGAGAGAGAGAGAGAUGUAGAGAGAGAAGCGGUGGUACAUGCAGAUGCUUUGCAGGGAGGGAGGAGACAAAAACAGCAGCAUUGCAGCUGGUAUGAGCAGCUGCAGUCGCAGUGCAGGUGCAACCCCAGUUGCUGCUAACACGCUUUCUUGUUUCUAACUUCUAACCCAACUCCACAAGCAAACCCACAAGGAUCCAACACCAACUAAGAUUAAUUGCAUACAGAUUUCUCUGUAAAUAUAUUGAAUAAUAUAUAUAUAUUUUAACAGAGUUCAAUUUUUCAUAUUCAUUCCUACAAAAGUUCCCACGUUUUCAAAUAUACUCCUACGUACUGUUAGGAUUCGUUAGAAAAAUAUCGUUAAUCGUAAGUGAAAAUACUUAAUACUGAUUACUCAAUAAGGUGAAUUGAACUUUUUACCCUCUUAUAUUAUUUGUAAUUGAAAAAAAGAAGAACAUGAUCGUUGGAGAUUUUUAGAAGAAUACUUCUGUAUAAUUUAACAGUUGAAAUUUUUUUAGGGAUAUAUUUGUGAUGACAAAAAAAUCAUUUCGCUUAUUUUUUAUUAAAAAAUAAAUAGUGCUGUAACGGUAACAAAGCUGAGAGGCAAAUAUGAAUAUUACUAGAUUUUUGUAAGAUAAAUAUGAAAAGUUGAACUUUAUAGAGAUAUAUUUGUUAUUUAGUUAUGUUUAUAAAAAAUUAUAUGAAAUUAAUUCUAUAUAAAAUUAUAUUAUUUAUAUAAUUUAAAAAACUGUCUUAAGAUUUGUACAGAUAAAAUUAAAGUAUAAAAUUCACAUAGAUAAAAAUAAAUAAGUGUGAAUUCCAUAUUAUUUUGGCUAAUAAAAUAAUUAUGGAAUUACAUAUAAAAGUUUGCAGGAGAGAGAGGGAGAGUACAAGGAGAGCUUUUAAACUUUUUUAGGCUAAUAACUAAACGCCACGUUGACCCCUUUUUUAGGCUAAAAUUUAUAGGUUUUAUUUAAAUUAUGAGUGUGUACUAGCACUUUUAUUUGAUUUUACUGUAAAUUUGACCUCAUAAUAGUUAAAACCAAACCAUUUUGUUAAAUAACAAAAUAUUUUAUCAAGAAUAACUAAUAAAAAAUUUUGAAAAUUACUUAGGGAAUAAAAUAAUAAACUAUAGGCUUGGUAAGGUAAUAUAUUAUACUAUCCUGAGAUUUAUAAAAAGUGUCGUAUUGCUAUUCUAGUAAAUGACAAAUUCAUCGACCAUCCCUAAAGCAAGUGGCAAAGUGCUUGGUGAUUGGUACCCGAGACUCAAGUUCGAAUUCUAGUUGAUUCACAUUUUCAGCUAAAUCUAUUUCUAAAUGAAAUAAAUGAAACGAGUAGCGUGCUAUCUAUCUCUCUCAAAAAAAUAAAAAAAAGGUAGCAUAAUUAACUGAAGUUUUUUGAUAUACAGUGUAGCAAAAAAAAAAUACACAGAACCACAAAAGGAUAAAUUAAAGUAUACUAUAUUUUAAAUUAUAGAUUAUAAAAUAGUAUAGUAAAAUUUCGAAAAAACUUCAAAUACCAUCUCUGUGAUUUCACACUUUUUCACUUUACUAUGUUGUAAUUUAAAAUGUAUAAAUUUAGUGCUAUGUAGUUUCAUUUUUUCCUUUUUAUUAUCAAUUUCACUAUUUUUUGUAUUAAAUUAGUGAUUAAGUUAAAACUAAAGGGUACUAAAGUAAAUAUUCGAUAAAUCUAGGUAGGGUAUGUGAAGUUUUUUUGUAUUUAAUUUAACGAAAUAUUAACGAAAAAGUUGACGAAAAAAGAAAAAUGAUGCCAGAAGGUACUAAAUUGAUAUACUUUAAAUCACAGAGUACUAAAGUGAGAAAGUACGAAAUCACAGAGAAGGUAUUUGAAGUUUACCCUAAAAUUUAAGUGUUAAAUAUCUAUUUGGAAUUUUUUUUGGGGAAAAAAAAAUGAUGCUAUCCGCUUCAUUUAUUAGGAAUAUAAACUAAGCUACAUGGAUGGGAUAGUACACCUCAGUCGAGAUGAAAAAAAAAUAAAAAUAAAAAUAAAAAUAAAAACAAAAGACGAGUGGUGACGUUAAAUUUAUUUUGUGAUGACAAAUUUCUCCAAUAAUUUUCUCAAGUACCUAAUUUUAUUGAUUGCUGCGAACGAGUCUGUAUUAGUCUUUCUAAAAAUCGUAUUGUUUUUGGCGUGUCAAAUUAUUCACCAGCAGGCUAUCAUGUGGAAAAUCAAAUUUUUUGUUUGAGUAAAAUUUAUGUAUUUAAAAAAAUACGAGAGAGAGAGAGAGAGAGAGAGAGAGGAGUACUAAUAAGAGUGUUUAUGUGAUUUAAAUUAACAAAAGAGAGAUGGAGAGAGAGAGAGAGAGAGAGAGAGAGAGAGUA
Molecule: long non-coding RNA, 36187 nt
Filed under: Ananas comosus (pineapple)
Lineage: Eukaryota; Viridiplantae; Streptophyta; Magnoliopsida; Poales; Bromeliaceae
Description: long non-coding RNA (ACOM_LNC010912)
Source: RNAcentral